CAAUCGUGUCUCAGCCGUUUUUCGUUGCCAACAGCAAAACAUCAGCGCGGAACGUUUAACAACAUUGAAGUAUUGAUCAUUAGUCAUUGCGUUUGUAGUUUGUAUUUGGUACUUCGAACCACGGCAGUAGUGUGUACUCAGUGUUGACAGUAUCUUCGAACCGAGGUAAACGAUAAAGUAACUUUAUGUAACAACUGUUGUCGUAAGUGUUCCUCCGUUACAUAGAAUAACAGUGUAUAAAUCUAUGGCGCGUUAUUUAUUUAUUAUUAUUAUUAUCAGUGCAUAGUGAUCAUAGUGCUGUGUAGUCACGGAUCGAGAGAGCACGGUCGGUUCGCGAUCAGUAGUCAGCAAAAUGAGAACCACUAAAAACCGUGUUCGGUUGUCCAAUAACAUCCGUGCGUAGAGGUGGCAGGCGGCGAGGACGCGCCGACACGACGUCGACAUAUUAUUUCGUUCACUACAACCACCGCCGACGCCGACUCCCCACCACGUAACGGAUGUCUCGGCACCAUAGCUCUGGUCGCCGACGCAGUUGUACACACUACGCACGACUGUAGCGCUGCGGCACUGCGACUGCCGUACUGCUUCCGGCUCCGUUGUCUCCGUCUACUGUGUAGUGUUUUAGUAUGUUGUACACUGGAUUCGUCGGGCGUUCGCUGUCGUUACGACGCUGCGGAACCUCUAGUCUCGGCUGCGAACGGGUCCGCCAUUUUUCUUUUCUAUAUGAACUUAAAAUUAUUCUCCCUCGCCGGUACUGCUCUUCUGCCGAAUCUUCCACUUGAGUAUUUUUCUAUUUUCUCAGUUCUCAUAACCUCCGAAUCGACAGUGAUCGUUUUCCGUUCGGUACGUCAUCGGUCGGCAUAAUAAUAUUAAUAUUAAUAAUAACAAUUAAUUAUACAACGCGCUACAAUUAUAUUAUAUUUUAUUCACAUCGUUCAUCGAAGCCAGUGUCCAUUUCGCGUUUCGUGAAAACACGUGUUCGUGUUCUUUGUUUAUUUUAUCCGUGAGUUAUGUUUGGUUAUGUAUUGGUUCAUCCUCGUUUCGACGGCAACUGGCAAGAACUUGAUGUUUCGGUACCGGCGAUUGCAGUACACAUUACAGAGUCUAGUUGCGAAUGCCAUUGACCAUGUCCAGGGCAAUGACGGUAGCUGCUCCUCAAGCAAAGUAUCCAGAUUGAUUACUUUUUUACUGGUUGCUGCUUAUCUUUACUACAGCUGCAAGGAAGUGCAAACUGCGUAUUACUUUGGAACUCUGAGUACCUAUGAUAUCAUUAGCUGUGGAUUGAUGACACCUAUCAAUUGUUAACAAAUCAAAACCAACCGUGAGGUCAGCAUUUAUAUUAUGGUAAAUAAAGGUUCACUAUUGAGAUACCUGAAUUACAUAAUUUAUCAAUGA
Long non-coding RNA from Acyrthosiphon pisum (pea aphid), 1395 nucleotides. RefSeq lists it as uncharacterized. Lineage: Eukaryota; Metazoa; Arthropoda; Insecta; Hemiptera; Aphididae. The record is from RefSeq and is a predicted model, not a curated record. The transcript is spliced from 2 exons.